RNAcentral lists this ribosomal RNA (440 nucleotides) under uncultured bacterium. Its description in RNAcentral is "partial 16S ribosomal RNA". It matches the Rfam family "Bacterial small subunit ribosomal RNA", at positions 338 to 795 of the family's 1533-position model. The record is from RNAcentral.
CCUACGGGGGGCAGCAGUGGGGGAUAUUGCACAAUGGGGGAAACCCUGAUGCAGCGACGCCGCGUGUAGGAAGACGGUCCUCUGGAUUGUAAACUACUGUCCCCAGGGACGAAGAUGACGGUACCUGGGGAGGAAGCUCCGGCUAACUACGUGCCAGCAGCCGCGGUAAUACGUAGGGAGCGAGCGUUGUCCGGAAUUACCGGGGGGAAAGGGAGCGUAGGCGGGGAUGCAAGUUGGGUGUUAAAUCUACCGGCUCAACUGGUAGUCGCACUCAAAACUGCAGCUCUUGAGUGAAGUAGAGGCAGGCGGAAUUCCUAGUGUAGCGGUGAAAUGCGUAGAUAUUAGGAGGAACACCAGUGGCGAAGGCGGCCUGCUGGGCUUUUACUGACGCUGAGGCUCGAAAGUGUGGGGAGCAAACAGGAUUAGAUACCCCAGUAGUC